RNAcentral lists this ribosomal RNA (470 nucleotides) under uncultured bacterium. Its description in RNAcentral is "partial 16S ribosomal RNA". It matches the Rfam family "Bacterial small subunit ribosomal RNA", at positions 28 to 507 of the family's 1533-position model. The record is from RNAcentral.
GACGAACGCUGGCGGCGUGCUUAACACAUGCAAGUCGAACGGUGAACGAGGGAGCUUGCUCCCUCCGGAUCAGUGGCGAACGGGUGAGUAACACGUGAGCAAUCUGCCCCGAACUCUGGGAUAAGCGUUGGAAACGACGUCUAAUACCGGAUACGACGCGGGAGGGCAUCCUCUCCGCGUGGAAAGAACUUCGGUUGGGGAUGAGCUCGCGGCCUAUCAGCUUGUUGGUGAGGUUAGGGCUCACCAAGGCGACGACGGGUAGCCGGCCUGAGAGGGUGACCGGCCACACUGGGACUGAGACACGGCCCAGACUCCUACGGGAGGCAGCAGUGGGGAAUAUUGCACAAUGGGCGCAAGCCUGAUGCAGCAACGCCGCGUGAGGGACGACGGCCUUCGGGUUGUAAACCUCUUUUAGUAGGGAAGAAGCGAAAGUGACGGUACCUGCAGAAAAAGCACCGGCUAACUACGUG